GAUGAAGAACGUAGCGAAAUGCGAUAAGUAGUGUGAAUUGCAGAAUUCAGUGAAUCAUCGAAUCUUUGAACGCACAUUGCGCCCCUUGGUAUUCCAUGGGGCAUGCCUGUUCGAGCGUCAUUUGUACCUUCAAGCUUUGCUUGGUGUUGGGUGUUUGUCCAUUCUCUUGCAGAGGGACUCGCCUUAAAGUAAUUGGCAGCCAGUGUUUUGGUUUUGAAGCGCAGCACAAGUCGCGAUUCAACGCUAUAAGCCAGCUUCCACAAGCCUUUUUCACUUUUGACCUCGGAUCAGGUAGGGAUACCCGCUGAACUUAAGCAUAUCAAUAAGCGGAGGA
This 334-nucleotide unclassified non-coding RNA is filed under the name soil metagenome. RNAcentral's name for it is "partial contains 5.8S ribosomal RNA, internal transcribed spacer 2, and large subunit ribosomal RNA". The stretch from base 1 to 120 matches the Rfam family "5.8S ribosomal RNA", at positions 35 to 154 of the family's 154-position model. The record is from RNAcentral.